AUCAAUAAGCGGAGGAAAAGAAACCAACAGGGAUUGCCUUAGUAACGGCGAGUGAAGCGGCAACAGCUCAAAUUUGAAAUCUGGCCCUCGGGUCCGAAUUGUAAUUUGUAGAGGAUGAUUUUGGUGCGGUAUCUUCCGAGUUCCUUGGAACAGGACGCCUUAGAGGGUGAGAGCCCCGUACGGUUGAAUGCCUAGCCUCUGUAAAUCUCCUUCGACGAGUCGAGUAGUUUGGGAAUGCUGCUCUAAAUGGGAGGUAAAUUUCUUCUAAAGCUAAAUAUUGGCCAGAGACCGAUAGCGCACAAGUAGAGUGAUCGAAAGAUGAAAAGCACUUUGAAAAGAGGGUUAAAUAGCACGUGAAAUUGUUGAAAGGGAAGGAUUUGUGACCAGACUUUUUCUGGGCGGAUCAUCCGGGGUUCUCUCCGGUGCACUUUGCCCAGUAAAGGCCAGCAUCGAUUUUCGGCGGCGGAUAAAAGCAGUGGGAAUGUGGCUCCCUACGGGGAGUGUUAUAGCCCAUUGUAUAAUACGCUGCUGGGGAUCGAGGUACGCGCUUCUGCAAGGAUGCUGGCGUAAUGGUUAUCAAUCACCCGUCUUGAAACACGGACCAAGGAGUCGAACAUUUAUGCGAGUGUUUGGGUGUUAAACCCUCACGCGUAAUGAAAGUGAACGGAGGUGAGAGCCCGUACGGGUGCAUCAUCGACCGAUCCUGAAGUUUUCGGAUGGAUUUGAGUAAGAGCAUAACUGUUCGGACCCGAAAGAUGGUGAACUAUGCGUGGAUAGGGUGAAGCCAGAGGAAACUCUGGUGGAGGCUCGCAGCGGUUCUGACGUGCAAAUCGAUCGUCAAAUCUGCGCAUGGGGGCGAAAGACUAAUCGAACCAUCUAGUAGCUGGUUACCGCCGAAGU
Molecule: ribosomal RNA, 900 nt
Filed under: Pestalotiopsis heterocornis
Lineage: Eukaryota; Fungi; Ascomycota; Sordariomycetes; Amphisphaeriales; Sporocadaceae
Description: LSU rRNA
Rfam family: Eukaryotic large subunit ribosomal RNA
Source: RNAcentral